RNAcentral lists this ribosomal RNA (274 nucleotides) under uncultured bacterium. Its description in RNAcentral is "partial 16S ribosomal RNA". It matches the Rfam family "Bacterial small subunit ribosomal RNA", at positions 523 to 796 of the family's 1533-position model. The record is from RNAcentral.
CUACGGAGGGGGCUAGCGUUGUUCGGAAUUACUGGGCGUAAAGCGCGCGUAGGCGGAUUGAUCAGUCAGGGGUGAAAUCCCGGAGCUUAACUCCGGAACUGCCUUUGAUACUGUCAAUCUUGAGUUCGAGAGAGGUGUGUGGAAUUCCUAGUGUAGAGGUGAAAUUCGUAGAUAUUAGGAAGAACACCAGUGGCGAAGGCGGCUCACUGGCUCGAUACUGACGCUGAGGUGCGAAAGCGUGGGGAGCAAACAGGAUUAGAAACCCUAGUAGUCC